This is a long non-coding RNA of Phasianus colchicus (ring-necked pheasant), 1684 nucleotides long. Lineage: Eukaryota; Metazoa; Chordata; Aves; Galliformes; Phasianidae. The record is from Ensembl.
AUGUCAUUACUCCCCUGGAAAUCCACUGUCGGGCCCCCACCUUCAUGUCAGAUAUUGAAAAGCAAGGAGAGCACAAACUUCUCAGUGCAUAACUCAUGCCCCCUGCCCCAUGGAUGGCUGGGUGCGGAGCUAUUGAGGAGAUGGAGAAGAGCACUUGCUGAUAGAAGCCAUGGCAGUCAGACACAUAAACUGGAUCUAGUGCCGGGCAGCUCUGAUUUCCAGAUGUUGCCCUCCGUAAGAGAGUACAUUGCAUGGCAAAAGAAAGCUGGGAAAAUGCUUCUUCCUCAUGAUUUUUCACUUGGUGAUACUUUCUGUAGAGUUCCUGUCCAAAAGCAGAACUCGGUGAUCAAGGCAGUUGAAGAACGAGUGAAGCCAGCUCCUUCCAAGAGCGAGGGAGGUUCCUGUGUGGAGAGAACCCUCGCACCUUGGGCUUCCUCUGACACUUCAGCCAUCAUGGCUCAGCAAGGAGAUGACCGUGGUUCCUAUUCCUGCUCUGUGAGAGGAAAGAAGCAGCACGGCGCGGUUCCCCAUGUUUGGGAGCAGCAGCCAGCAGGCUGCCGGAGAUCCAACAGCGCCUUGCAGUGCACAGAGGGACGCGAUGGGAACAGAGCGUCCUUACUGCCACACAAAAGUGAGUUUCUUCAGUCCUUCCUCUGUCAUGAAGGAUGGAGGAUUGAAUUUUGAGUAUUACUUCUGAGCGGUUGCAGUGCUGCAGGGGAUGUCAAGUAAGCAUCCAUUUGGAGUGCAGGAAGGGGCAGCGAGAAGUGAACUAUCAGUUUGUGUUUGGGCUGUCAAAGUAGCAUCUUUCUGUUUUCUGGUGGGUUUACUGGACAAUACUGCUGCCUGCUGGUGUCUGUGAAAUCAAUACAUGAUCUGUUGUAGUGACGGAGCCUGCGUGUCCAUGGAAUGGUCCAUGGAAGGAGUGUUGGAAAUAUCCAAAUAAUUUAUCAGGAUGCUAUCUCUGAUAAAGUAGAUUUUAUUUGCAAUUGCAAUGGUGGGCCUCCUGCUAGCAGGAGAGCCCCUAGUAAAACGGUGUUACAACUUUUGAUGCCCUAUUGUCUGACGCUUCUCUCUUUCUCCCCUAGUUCCUCACUGGCUGAGUACUUUAGGUUCACAAUCUUCUCGAUGCUUUGCUAAAAAUACAAACACUGGAAAAACAUAAAUCUUUAAGCAUAAGCUUCUAAUUAGUUAAUUAACUUCUGACCCUCACUCCACACUUGGUCAUUGUUUCUGGAUAUCUGCUCGUCCUCCCUUGCAUAGAGACAAGCUCGGAAGGAGGACAGAGGGGAGUAUCUUGAUGCCUGCCUGUCAUAUUCCAACCUUCUCACGGGGUUGUGACAGUCUGACCUUCUGUAGAGGCCCUAGCUUCUUUGAUGUUUGUUAAAUGUGUUUUUCUUUUGCUGGGAGUUUCUUAUCCUGACAGAACAACCCUACAAUAUGUUUUCUAAUCCCUAACACUAUACCCACAUUGUCUGGAACAUUUAACAGCUAUUGCAGUUUUGCAAGAAAGAAUUAAUCACAUAAUUCAGCAAUUGUGUUUCUAAAACAUGCUGCUAACAUAUACAGUAUUUCUACUUUUUAGAUAACUAUUUCUAAGGGUAAGUUACAGAAUGUAAAUACAUUAUGUUUGACUUCUUCAAACCAAUUGCCCUUUUUAAUAUCUAAUGCAGACACAACAUUCCAU